RNAcentral lists this ribosomal RNA (1118 nucleotides) under uncultured Neocallimastigales. RNAcentral's name for it is "partial large subunit ribosomal RNA". The stretch from base 337 to 1118 matches the Rfam family "Eukaryotic large subunit ribosomal RNA", at positions 1 to 609 of the family's 3401-position model. Lineage: Eukaryota; Fungi; Neocallimastigomycota; Neocallimastigomycetes; Neocallimastigales. The record is from RNAcentral.
CUAUACAUGACUCUGCGCAUAUCAAUAAGCGGAGGAAAAGAGGGCUAUUACCUACGCUUAGGAUGUUGACGAGACUGUCGAUCUCAUCUAUACAUGACUCUGUGCAUAUCAAUAAGCGGAGGAAAAGGCACGUACCUACGCUUAGGAUGUUGACGAGACUGUCGAUCUCAUCUAUACAUGACUCUGCGCAUAUCAAUAAGCGGAGGAAAGGAGGGCUAUUACCUACGCUUAGGAUGUUGACGAGACUGUCGAUCUCAUCUAUACAUGACUCUGCGCAUAUCAAUAAGCGGAGGAAAAGAGGGCUAUUACCUACGCUUAGGAUGUUGACGAGACUGUCGAUCUCAUCUAUACAUGACUCUGCGCAUAUCAAUAAGCGGAGGAAAAGAAACUAACAAGGAUUCCCUCAGUAACGGCGAGUGAAGCGGGAAGAGCUCAAAUUUGAAAUCUUCAAGGUUCUACCUUGACGAAUUGUAGUUUAAAGAAGUGUUUUCUGUUGGAGUUUUGGUAAAAGUUCUUUGGAAUAGGACAUCAUAGAGGGUGAGAAUCCCGUAUUUGACCAUUAUUUUCAGCUGUGUGAUACACUUUCAAAGAGUCGGAUUGUUUGGGAAUGCAGUCCAAAAUGGGUGGUAAAUUUCAUCUAAAGCUAAAUAUUGGCGAGAGACCGAUAGCGAACAAGUACCGUGAGGGAAAGAUGAAAAGAACUUUGAAAGAGAGUUAAACAGUACGUGAAAUUGUCAAAAGGGAAGCGUUUGACACCAGUGUUGUUUUCUCGAAAAUCAAUUAAAAAAGGCCGGAUUUUGUGUUGUAUUGACCUUAAAAGCUUUCUUCACUCUUUUCUUGUCUUUUUUAAUGCACUUUUCGUUUAACAAGUCAACAUCAGUUUCUUUUGUUGUAAAAGGGUCAUUGGAAGGUGGCUUUCUUUUCGGAGAAAGUGUUUAUAGCCUUGUGCCUCCGCAAUCGGAGAGAUUGAGGUCUGCAGCGUAGAUCCUUCGGGGUUAGAUACAUUUGUGCUAAGUUAUAGCCUUUCAUAGACAACUUGUUGACUAUGUUUAGUCUUGUAGCUUACUCGCUGACGCUAUUUUACCUACGCUUAGGAUGUUGACGAGACUGUCGAUCUC